Molecule: long non-coding RNA, 745 nt
Filed under: Felis catus (domestic cat)
Lineage: Eukaryota; Metazoa; Chordata; Mammalia; Carnivora; Felidae
Description: lncRNA (ENSFCAG00000047943.1)
Source: RNAcentral
GGGGAGAAGAGAAAGCGGGUAGGACCGCCCCAUUGGACUCCAUGGCAUAUGGUCACCUGCACUUAGUCUCCUCAGAAAGCACAGAUAUUUCAAAAUGUUGAGGGUUAAGAAAGCAGAACUGCUUCUGUUCAUGAAUGUUUAUUAAAAACAGUUGGUUAUGGAAAACACCACCGGCUUGGAUGAUUCAAACUUGUCUGGAUUUUUCAGUGGGUCUCUGGCAAAAGAAGACAAUAUGGAAAAAUCCCUUCAAACAGACCAUGAUAUUAAAGCUCUUCUUCUCAUACAAAACUUAUAUCCAUUAUUUGAUUUACCGGUCUCUGAAAUAGAGUGUUUAACGAAGACAGUUUAAAGAGGCGGAGAUUCUGAUCCCAUAAAUCCUCACCAAGAAAAUGACCAUGUAUCGGAAUCUGGAAGGACCCUCUAUAGAUGCUAACCAAGAAGUUCCGUGGGCACCGUUGUCAGUGGGGAGCCCCGCCAUGCUCAGGGCCCUGUGACAGCUGUGGUGUCACCCCAUGCUCUGCAGAACGUUGAGACAGCUUUUCCAGCACUGGACCAGCUUAUUGUUUGUCUUCUUUGUGUAUAACUGUAACAUGUGAAGAAGACUUAGCUAAACAGCCAAGUGCGCCUCCAAUUGCCAGUAGGUUCUAAGAACUUCAGUCCAGCUCACAUGUUCAGAGCGUGUGUUCUGUGUGUAGCAUUUAAUAGAAUGUGUUAGAGAAGCAACAGUGUAGAGGGAUCUAGAAGA